Molecule: long non-coding RNA, 309 nt
Organism: Protopterus annectens (West African lungfish)
Lineage: Eukaryota; Metazoa; Chordata; Ceratodontiformes; Protopteridae
Exons: 3
Source: RefSeq, a predicted model, not a curated record
CUGAAAGCUGCUGAUUCAGGCUUUCCAAAGGCAGCUAUAAUGCAGAAAAGAAAUCAAUAGUGUACCAGAGAUAUAACCCUGACACUGCAGAUAAAACCUGCCAGAUUUAAUACAGCCAGAGCACUACAGAGUGUUUUAAUGCAUCAUUUAGAAAGGACCUUCCCUCACUUUAAGGAAAAUUACAGCUAUGCUCAACUGCCUGCAUGGUCUGAAAAUUUCACAAGUCAGCUCCAAGACAGCCCAUCACAGAAACAAAAACUGACAAGCUUAUUGAGCAUUUUCAUCCCAAGUUUAUGAGACUUCAGAACA